This 497-nucleotide ribosomal RNA is filed under the name uncultured bacterium. RNAcentral's name for it is "partial 16S ribosomal RNA". It matches the Rfam family "Bacterial small subunit ribosomal RNA", at positions 28 to 507 of the family's 1533-position model. The record is from RNAcentral.
GAUGAACGCUGGCGGCGUGCCUAAUACAUGCAAGUCGAGCGAACAGACGAGGAGCUUGCUCCUCUGACGUUAGCGGCGGACGGGUGAGUAACACGUGGAUAACCUACCUAUAAGACUGGGAUAACUUCGGGAAACCGGAGCUAAUACCGGAUAAUAUAUUGAACCGCAUGGUUCAAUAGUGAAAGACGGUUUUGCUGUCACUUAUAGAUGGAUCCGCGCCGCAUUAGCUAGUUGGUAAGGUAACGGCUUACCAAGGCGACGAUGCGUAGCCGACCUGAGAGGGUGGUCGCCCACACGGGAAGUGAGACACGGUCCAGACUCCUACGGGAGGCAGCAGUAGGGAAUCUUCCGCAAUGGGGGAAAGCCUGACGGAGCAACGCCGCGUGAGUGAUGAAGGUCUUCGGAUCGUAAAACUCUGUUAUUAGGGAAGAACAAAUGUGUAAGUAACUAUGCACGUCUUGACGGUACCUAAUCAGAAAGCCACGGCUAACUACGUG